RNAcentral lists this ribosomal RNA (442 nucleotides) under uncultured bacterium. Its description in RNAcentral is "bacterial SSU rRNA". It matches the Rfam family "Bacterial small subunit ribosomal RNA", at positions 28 to 507 of the family's 1533-position model. The record is from RNAcentral.
GAUGAACGCUGGCGGUAUGCCUAACACAUGCAAGUCGUACGAGAGUUUUUAACUCUAGUGGCGGACGGGUGAGUAACACGUGAGAAUUUGCCUUUAGGAGGGGACAACAAUUGGAAACGAAUGCUAAUACCCCAUAUGCUUUCGAGUGAAAUGGAUUUUAUCCGCCUAGAGAGAAGCUCGCGGCUGAUUAGCUUGUUGGUAAGGUAAGAGCUUACCAAGGCGACGAUCAGUAUCUGGUUUGAGAGGACGAUCAGACACACUGGAACUGAGACACGGUCCAGACUCCUACGGGAGGCAGCAGUGGGGAAUUUUCCGCAAUGGGCGAAAGCCUGACGGAGCAAUUACCGCGUGAGGGAAGAAUGCCUAUGGGUUGUAAACCUCUUUUUUCAGGGAGGAAAUCAAAUGACGUGUACCUGAAGAAUAAGCAUCGGCUAACUCCGUG